Patella vulgata (common limpet) is the source of this 456-nucleotide long non-coding RNA. RefSeq lists it as uncharacterized. NCBI's taxonomy places the organism in Eukaryota, Metazoa, Mollusca, Gastropoda, Patellidae. The transcript has 3 exons. The record is from RefSeq and is a predicted model, not a curated record.
ACUGAAAGACGGAUAUGCACCAAGUAAAAAAGAAGCGUUUAAAGUUGUGCGGAAGUCAAAUGUUUUAGAUAAAAUGCCAUCUCGGGCAUCUGUCGGUGCCACUCCGGCUUCUGCUAAUAAUGAAGCUGCUGCAGCCACACCCGCUCUACCACCCGGGUUCGACCCACAAGGAAUUCUAGAUGAUAUGAGAAAACUCAAACUUAUUGUCAAAGCUCACGAACGACGAAUCAAAACUUUGGAAGAAAAGCUAUCACAGUAUGACACCAAUUUAACAGACGAGGAAGAGACGGAGACAGUGUAAUAUACAUGUAUAUAUAGAAUUGCCUCAGAAAACCAUAGACUUUCUAAAAGACGGAUUUGAUCCUGAAAAAUUAGUAAAAGAUUUAAAAUCGCUUCAAGACACAGUAAAAAAACAGGAUAAACGCAUUCAACAAUUAGAAGAUAGGCUGGCCAAGU